AUAAAAAGAUGCCCUGGCAAGCAGCCUAGGGCUACUUGCUCUCAGGAACUUCUGGGGGAGGAGCCUCUGGGAGGAAGUUAGCUAUAUCCCUUCCUGUCCCAGGCUGCUGUGGCUGGGUGCUGCAACCUUGGUCUCAGGAACUUCUGGGGAGAAGAAGGCAGGCCCUUUCCUGCCUCUGGCUACUAUUAACUGCUGGCUUGGUCUCAGAGAUUUUGGACUACCUCACUGCAUCUGAUCCUGAUUUGUCUUCCUGCUGACUGCUCUGCUGCUGAGUGCCCAGCUGGAGGACUGAGGAGCUUCUGGACAGAUCUUCCACAAACAAAGCCCCUCCACUGCUCCAGCCAUCUUUUACACCUGCCUCAGCAGCCUUCUCUAUGUUUUGUUUUGUUUUGUUUUUGCCCUUGUGUGGUAAAUUCUGUGGUCUACUCCCCCAAUCUGGUGUUUGCUGUGUGGCUGAGUAAGCCAGUCUGAGUUUCCCCAGCCCUUGUAUGUGUGGUUUUGUUGUUGGGGGGGUUCCCCCUCCCCCCCCCAUAUUCCCAAAGCAUAGGUCUCCUGUUUUGUUUUGUUUUUUCCUGUGGGGCUGUAGCUCAGUGAGCUUCAACCCCCUUCCUCCCUAUCCUCCUUCUGCCCCACAACCCCAGCCUGCCCCUACUAGAUUCACCAGCCCCACGGGAUAUUUUGUUUUUAUCAUCUUCCCUGCCCUCAUGUGAAACAAUGGCAGGGCAGGAACCUUCUGGUGGGGCAGAUGCCCCUGCAGAGCUUCCUGCAGCCCCCACUAUGGGGUGGAUCCCAGCCAAGCCCCCAAAGAGAUGCAUGCCCCUGCAGCCUCCACCCCAGAGGCAGAGUUCAACCAACCUCCUCCAGGGGUGGAGAAGUCUGCAACCUCCACUGCAGGGGCAGGUGGGACUCUGGUAGGGAACCAACAGGGCCAGGGGGUCAUCCCUAGCCAGGCCUCCCCCGGGGGAGGAUCAUUGGGGACCAAGGUCAGUGGGAAGGGCUCCUCUUCAGCCUCCUCCACAGCUAGGGGUGGAAAGGGCAAGGCCCCUGCCCUGAAGCCUAGACCACCAGUGCCUGAGGGGACCAGGUGCACUACACCAGCCAGCACACCCAUUAGGCCUGUCCCUGGCAGUAGCUCAGGCCCCACCAAGAUGGCUCCCUGGGGGGGGGGGAACCACAGCUAUGCACAGUCAGCUAUGGGGAGACCCAAAGCCAGGGGGCCUGAACCCUCCACCACCAACCCUUCUAACUUGGGCAGUGGGGCCCCCUUUCCAGCACUCACCCACAGGCAUGGGGUAAAGUGCCAACUGCCCAAGCAGGAGAACCUACA
Long non-coding RNA from Alligator mississippiensis (American alligator), 1327 nucleotides. RefSeq lists it as uncharacterized. The record is from RefSeq and is a predicted model, not a curated record. The transcript has 2 exons. Lineage: Eukaryota; Metazoa; Chordata; Crocodylia; Alligatoridae.